RNAcentral lists this unclassified non-coding RNA (340 nucleotides) under Hevea brasiliensis (rubber tree). The record is from RNAcentral. Lineage: Eukaryota; Viridiplantae; Streptophyta; Magnoliopsida; Malpighiales; Euphorbiaceae.
AACAAGAUAACAUUUUUUUUUUGUCGAAGGAAAGAGCACACUUACGCAGGUUAGGGACAGGACUGAAUCACUUUUAAAACUAUUGCAAUUUUAACAUGAUAACAUCACUGGGAAGAGUUUUAGGCACAAUACAUGCUUGACUUAAACAUCAAAGGAAAAUCAAACCUUCGAACGAAAGAAAAUCAAAGGAAAAAAGAAAAAGAAAGAUAAUAGAAAUAAAGAAAAAUAACUUGUAGUCAUACAAAUGAUACUUUGCCUAAUAAAAUUUAAUUUAUAUUUCUUAUGUUUUUCUUCCUUUGCCUCCUCAGUUGUUUCCUUCCAAAAGUUUUCACAAACCAAU